RNAcentral lists this ribosomal RNA (325 nucleotides) under uncultured eukaryote. RNAcentral describes it as "partial 18S ribosomal RNA". It matches the Rfam family "Eukaryotic small subunit ribosomal RNA", at positions 1470 to 1796 of the family's 1831-position model. The record is from RNAcentral.
CCCUUAGAUGUUCUGGGCUGCACGCGCGCUACACUGAUGCGCUCAACGAGUUUUAACCUUGCCUGGAAAGGUUGGGUAAUCUUUUUAAAACGCAUCGUGAUGGGGAUAGAUUAUUGCAAUUAUUAAUCUUCAACGAGGAAUUCCUAGUAAGCGCGAGUCAUCAGCUCGUGCUGAUUACGUCCCUGCCCUUUGUACACACCGCCCGUCGCUCCUACCGAUUGAGUGCUCCGGUGAAUAAUUCGGACUGCGGCAUUGACCGGUUCCCGAUCGUUGCUGCGGAAAGUUUAGUGAACCUUAUCACUUAGAGGAAGGAGAAGUCGUAACA